Molecule: transfer RNA, 86 nt
Filed under: Apiotrichum porosum
Lineage: Eukaryota; Fungi; Basidiomycota; Tremellomycetes; Trichosporonales; Trichosporonaceae
Description: Trichosporon porosum tRNA
Rfam family: tRNA
About the family: Transfer RNA (tRNA) molecules are approximately 80 nucleotides in length. Their secondary structure includes four short double-helical elements and three loops (D, anti-codon, and T loops). Further hydrogen bonds mediate the characteristic L-shaped molecular structure. tRNAs have two regions of fundamental functional importance: the anti-codon, which is responsible for specific mRNA codon recognition, and the 3' end, to which the tRNAs corresponding amino acid is attached (by aminoacyl-tRNA synthetases). tRNAs cope with the degeneracy of the genetic code in two manners: having more than one tRNA (with a specific anti-codon) for a particular amino acid; and 'wobble' base-pairing, i.e. permitting non-standard base-pairing at the 3rd anti-codon position.
Source: Rfam by way of RNAcentral
GGGCGUGUAGCUCAGUUGGUAGAGCGUGUCAUUAGCAUCUUCUACCCUACUUGACAAGGUCUUUGGUUCGAUUCCUAACCCGUCCA